UCCUGCCAGGUAGCCAAUUUACCUCACCUGGGUCAAGUGUGGCAAAUGUAGAUUAAUGUCUUGCCAAAGGACAUUAGUGCCGCGGCAGGACUCGAAUUAAUAGACCAUGAAGAUCUUGAAGAUAUUGACAAGGUUACAGCAACAUGUGCUAGCAACAUCUGAUACUACAUGUAGUUAGCAUCUCUUCCAGACAGGCAUGAACACUGCAGACAGUUCUCUCAUUUCCUUACUGUUAUGCACAAGAAUAUAGAGCAUCAAAUGUGAGCGAUUAUGUUGCCAUAUAUUUUGAGGCACCUUCAUCUAGCAGCAGGAUUACAAGUGGGGUGGUUUUCAUGGCUCCCGUAAGUAUUACCCAUGUUAGAUCUCAGAUUAUUAAAAAAACAUUUAACAGGAUCAACUUUCUGUAUGUGAGAAAUACUUAGACAAAAAGAUUUUUCUAAAAUGUAUAUGAGCAGGUGUUGUGGUACUGAACAAAGUUAACAGGGUGAAUUAAAAUAAGGGACUGUGAGAUAUUUCAAGGAAGUGAAAUGGAUUCUGAAAGCUGUUUAUCUGUGUUUUAAUGAAAGUUUGUAUUUACUAUACUUAUUUUGCUACUAGGUAAAGGCUUUGAUUGAUGACAAUGUCAAAGUCAAGUUCAUGCGCCAGAACAGCAAUGGUCUGUAUGAAUUUACAGAGGACUGUGAAGCCCUUCAGCCUAAAAAAAGAUGUAAUACAGAAGAUGACUCUACCAACCAGGACCCCUACCCCAGCAGGCAGAGCUUACCUUUAUAAUUUUUAAGAAGGAGAACUGGACAUGUUGGCAGAUAAAUUUCUUUGAAAUAAGAAGUAGAUCACAAUUGUGUUCCAGGACAAAAACCUGUAAAUACUUACCAUGCUAUUGGUUUCAAAUAUAUGAAUGUCUGUGUAAAUGUAAACACAUAACAAACAAGUUUGUGGAAGCCACUGUGUGGAAAUUUAAUUCUUUGCACUAAGAAUAAAUGAUGACAAAGACGCAAGUGAAGGGUAGUGAUACAUUGCUAUGAAUUAACAUAAAUGGUUUCUAUGUGAACAAUUAUUUUAAGUACUUUACUUACAGUUCAACAUUUUAUCAAAUCUUCAAAAGUAAGGUUAAAUUUCGCUUUGUAUAUUGCCUUUGUAGUUGACAAUAUAGUGUGUUAACAUGUUUGAAGCCUCCGAAACACUACUUUGAACUGAUCCUAUACAUGUAUAUGUUUCCUGAAUGUUUCAAAUUUGAUAUGAGAAAAGUGAUUUCCUUGGAAAUUACAUACUUGACAAUAUAUUCCCUGAGUAUCAGCACAGAUUUGAAAUCCUCAUGGAUUCCAUUAAGUGACUUUGCAAUGUUUGUGUACUGAACAAAAAACUCAUCGUAUUAAGUAAAGAUAAUUUGUAACAUACAUGUACCGUACUUUAUAUUAACAAGUAUUUUUACUCCCUAAACAAAUGUUUUAGGUGUUAUAUUAGUAAUUUAACAUAUCAUUAACAGUUUUAAGUUGAAUCUUUCUUAAUAUGUUACCUAAGUAAUGGACAACAUUUUAUGUUAACAUGAUUGAAGCCUCCGAAACAGGCAUUUUGUUAACCUGAAGCCUCCGAAACACACACAUAAGAAAUUUUCAACUUCCUCAUUUGAAAUGCGAUUUCUUUGGAAUUUGCAUGGUAAUUAGCCCUCACUGAAUGGUAUUUGUAGAGUAAUUUUUAUUUGCUCCCCCUCUUGGAAGAUAGGUAAAUUUGAAAAAUUAAAUGUCAAAGUCAUAUUUUAUCUUGAAUUUGACAAACGCAUUGAAUUUUUUAAAGACCAAAUAAGUUUGACCCAAAAAGCUUUAUAAGCCUUUAAGUACAUUAGAAUAGCAAAUGAAAAAUUGCAAUUGAAUUAUGUUUGGAGAACAAAUGUUGUCAUUUAAGUUGAUAGAAUUAAAAUGUUGUUUUUGUUCAAAUUUA
Long non-coding RNA from Strongylocentrotus purpuratus (purple sea urchin), 1935 nucleotides. RefSeq lists it as uncharacterized. The record is from RefSeq and is a predicted model, not a curated record. The transcript has 2 exons. NCBI's taxonomy places the organism in Eukaryota, Metazoa, Echinodermata, Echinoidea, Camarodonta, Strongylocentrotidae.